RNAcentral lists this long non-coding RNA (1161 nucleotides) under Marmota monax (woodchuck). Lineage: Eukaryota; Metazoa; Chordata; Mammalia; Rodentia; Sciuridae. The record is from RNAcentral.
UACUAUCCGCCUCUGUCGCAACUUUGAGUUCUCGCACUAUUUUGGAGUUCUCGUGGGGAUUUCCGGGGAUUCCCCGAGAGUUCCCAUUGGUUGGGGAAGUGCAGGAGGAGGGAUUUCCGGGAGAGAUAUUUCCUGCUGGGGGUUCCUGGACAAGCCUCCUGGCGCGAUCGGGAGGAUUCCCCAGGAGCUGUGUGAAGUGUUUUCCUGCAGUUUAAAAAUAAAGUUUGUUCCUGCUUCAGUGGCUCGUGAUUUGUGCCCAGCCAGACUGCGGCAGACUGUGGUCCUGAGUCCUGUACAAGAGCCUCUUAUUUUAUGCCCCUGGGAGGACAGCACAGAAUUCCGACCCGGGGGGCCUCUGAAGAUAGGAACAAGAUCCCACGAUAUCAAUCACGGUGGAGCUGCUGUUCCUGCACACAUGGUGAGCCUGUUACUUCUACAACCGGGACCAGGGUUGAUCGUAUCCGAGUCAAUGCCUUCUAAUAAAUACUGUAGAUACAGGCAGCUCUCCUACCAUGGUUGCACAGCCUAAAAACUGUUGUUGGAAGGAACAUUCUGUCGGCUCCACGAAAGCCAUUUUCCCAUAGAAGCACUCAUGUGAAUUGGGAAAGAAGAACUGCUUCCUCUCAACACCGUGAGAGACAUGGUUCAGAAAAUAGCCAGCAGGACACCUGCAGCAACACACACAAAGUAGUGAUAAUCUCAAGCAAAAAUUACAAACCCCAAAAACUCGUUUAGGAAGUAACACCCUUAAUGCCAGGAGACACAAUGCUCCUGCGCCUCUGUUUUCACCUGCCCUGGGUACAAAAUAAUCACAAAAAAUUGAAAUCCGAGCACUGCAAAGCUACACAGCCAAAGGAGAGGGGACAGGAGUACAGGCAAGUGUGGGGGAUGCAGCCGUAGGGAAACGUCAGGUACGGGUCCCUCAACUCUAUUUCACUGUCGUGAAACCAGGGGAGCGCGCGAACGCAAUCCUUACUACCACAAACCAUGCAGCCUUGUUUCCCACAUUCGGGGAAAUCGCAGGGGUCAGCACCUCCCAAGUGCAAUGGAAAAGCCGUGCCCUGGGAAAACCAUCUACGUGAUCGUGGUGUUUCCGCUGCCAGGUAAGUUUGAGUGGCUCAGCUUCCCGCCCAACGCAGCCUUAAGCGCCCUCCACUGUGC